CUGCCUCCUGUAUUUUCUCGGCUUCCCAUUGGUCCUUUCACUGUCACUCAGACAGGACUUCUGGUCCCACUUUCCAGCCACUAACCUGUACUUCCUGUUUCAUCCCUGCUACCAGGAGCUGCGCAGAGACUGCAUUUUUAAGAAUAUCUACCUAAAAUACUAAUGAAAGAUCUUUUUCUGGCAAAAUUUAAUUCCACAGGCUUCUACAUUCCAUCCCUGAGACUAACUUUUUCAAAAUUUCUAAGGUAACUUACAUUUUUCUCUUUAUAGCUGUAUUAUUAAGAAAAAUUGCAGAGAUAAUGUAACAAUUAUAAGACAUACAUAUGCUUCUUUAUAUUUUGCUUUUAAUUUUGAAGGUUUUGAGGAGGCAUUUGCUUGUCACAGGGACAAAAGCCGGCAAUGUCCCUGUGAUAAUCAAAGAAUCCUCAUUCUGAUUCCUGAGUAUAAAAUUACAAGACAUAAGUUAAUGUAUACAGAAGGAUCUUAAUAUGUUACGUCAGAAAUAUAAAACAAUGCACUACUAAUCCAAGAAAAAUUAAAAUGGAUCCAAAUAUCAUAAGAACCACGUGGUUGCAUAAAGUUAAUACAAUUAUAUAAGUUAUGCUCUUAUUCUUUAUACAUAUUUUUCUAGCGAUUUGGAUAACCUAUGGUUGUUAAUUCAUUAAUAAUUAG
RNAcentral lists this long non-coding RNA (672 nucleotides) under Marmota monax (woodchuck). Lineage: Eukaryota; Metazoa; Chordata; Mammalia; Rodentia; Sciuridae. The record is from RNAcentral.